RNAcentral lists this long non-coding RNA (1289 nucleotides) under Nicotiana benthamiana. RNAcentral's name for it is "long non-coding RNA (NBEN_LNC032808)". Lineage: Eukaryota; Viridiplantae; Streptophyta; Magnoliopsida; Solanales; Solanaceae. The record is from RNAcentral.
CAAAAGAUGCAUCUGAAUAUUGAGAUUCAUUAUAAAAAAUAAUUAAACAGUAACGCUGAACAAUGUCUUAAGUUUGAAAAUUAAUACUAUAUCUUAGUUCGAUGGCAUCCGAAAAAUACAAUGUUGUUAGAGCUAUGCCUUAAAAUUAACAACUCUCACUCCUUUAUCUAUCAGAUUCUUCAUGAAUGAUCUGCUAAGUGUAGAGAUCAUAUGCCAGAUGGCAUUAGUCAUGAUGUUUCACCGCGGAAGAUGUGAACUCUUUAUUCACUGCCACCACUUCUUCUCAGACAACGAAAUUAGCUGCCAAAAACAAAUAGAGAAGAUGAGCAACCAUGAGUGAGUAACCAUAGGCGUUUAUCAAGGUUUGCAGCACACAAAUGUACAGAUAAAAUGAGAAGAACAUCAAGGCGACCUGCUAGCGCUUACUUAAAUAUAGUACACCCUCAACAUUCAAACCAGCUAAAACUUGCUACUCGUAGCAAACAUUUGAUUUCAUACCUUCAUAACUCUAAAAAGUUCUUCCUUGGAAGUUCUAUCCUGGAGGAAAUAUUUUGUUCCAUAAUGAGAAACUCCAUGUGCAUAAAAUCACUCACUGAGUAUGCAUAAUUCUUUAGUCUUUCUAAGAAUUUAAGGGUUUACUAGCCACACAAGAAUAGCUGAGAAGGAACACGUGACUAAGCGAAUAACUGGUAAUGCCCUGAAACACAACUUUCUAGCCAUGGUUGAAACCUAACUGGUUAUCACAAACAUUUGGUUCACCAACUUUGGGUCUCUUGAUGUGCACCAACACUCUUCAGGAACAACUUCCUGAAAUAAGAUAAAAAUCCUGUAAUUGAAAGACUACGCUAGUUUCUCUCAGAGAAUAAAGGGCAAGAUAGAAGGUGAUCAGGGGGUCCAACCCCCGCCGUUCCCUAAAAAGUAAUUUUCAGAAAAUGAAAAUCUUCGAAAACGCAAGAGCUAGGAGUUACACAUCAAUGAAGUUGGCAAUUUAGCAAGAUACUAGAACAAUACUGCCAAAUGCGGUACCUAUUAUUACAUCAGCUACUAAACUUUUUAGAGAUGUCCUGAAUUCUUUUUCAUUCAAUAGGAAAACACCAAGCAUAUUCAUACAAAUAGCUAUAUGCAUAUGUCGCAUUCAUACAAACCUCAAGUAUACAGAAAAGGAAUAUAUAUAUACACACACACACACACACACACACACACAUAUAUAUAUAUAUGCAUCAGAACAUCUAUGAUGACAGAAUAGGUGAAUAACCAACCUGUCGUGCAACCUGUGCCACUCGGCGACU